This 393-nucleotide ribosomal RNA is filed under the name uncultured bacterium. RNAcentral's name for it is "bacterial SSU rRNA". It matches the Rfam family "Bacterial small subunit ribosomal RNA", at positions 955 to 1352 of the family's 1533-position model. The record is from RNAcentral.
UUGAGAACGAGAAGCAUUUCCAGGUGUUGUCAUAUGGGAUGAGAAGAUGCAGAGAUGCAUCGGAGGUUAUCAUCCACACAGGUGGUGCAUGGUUGUCGUCAGCUCGUGUCGUGAGAUGUUGGGUCAAGUAUCGCAACGAGAGCACCCCCUGUGUCAUGUUGCUAACAGGAAAAGCUGAGGACUCAAACCAGACUGCCGGUGACAAACCGGAGGAAGGCGGGGAUGACGUCAAAUCAUCAUGCCCCUUAUGGCCUGGGCUACACACGUACUACAAUGGGGGGUACAAAGAGGAGCGAGCCAGGGAUGUCGAGCGAAUCUCAUAAAACCCGUCCCAUUCGGAUUGGAGGCUGCAACUCGCCUCCAGAAGUUGGAAUCGCUAGUAAUCGCGAUCAG